UCAUUUUUCGCAUUUGUAAACACAAUAUAAGAUUUCCCCAGUCCAGUGAGCAGACUACACAAUAUGAGGGUAAUAACAGUUCCUGCAGGGAAGGAAGAUCUUCUAUAACUGCUGAACAGUUUAAAUUGAAUAGGCUGGAAAGAACAUUGAUUCUCAAUAAUGAAAUCUCCCGGAUUGAGCAAGUAGUUGCUGUAUUUUCUCUCUUCUAUAUAUUCAGGAUUCCUUCUUCAUUUUUCCCAGCAAAGUACACUCCUCUGGUUCUGAAUCCAUAGUUUCAACCAACCAAGAAUGGAAAAUAUUUUUUAAAAGUUGCAUCUGUACCAAAUAUAUGCAGACUUUCCUUGUCACUUCCUGAAGGAUACAAUAUAACAGCUACUUUCACAGCAUUUACUACAUUGUAGUAGGUAUUAUAAGUCAUCUGUGGAUUAUUUUAAGUAUAUAGAAGGAUGUGUGUGUAGGUUCUAUGCAAACAUUACACCAUUUUACGUAAGAGAUUUCAGCAUCCUUGGAUUUGUUAUCUGUGGGGGUCCUGGAAUCAGUUUCCUGCAGAUCUCAAAGGAAGACCAUAAUGUUUACAUUUGCUAUGACAGCCUUAGACCCCAAUUUCUCCUGGUUGCCCCACCUACUGAAGUCCUAUCCUGGUGAGUGAUGGUUAUGUACAUAACACAUUCAAUUGGAAUUUUUUUGAAAUAUGCUUUUCUUAGAUCAGGAACCUGCAGCAUGUUGAUUUCAGUCCCCAAGGUAUCAGACUUCUCAAAAUGACAAUAUUGCCACUAAUUCUUUUUCACAACAUGAUUAAAGUUCCCAUUUUCCAUGAAACAUUUUUCCAAUACACAGCAGUUGGUAAAGCAGACUGCAAGGUCAGCUGCAGGAAAAUGAGUUUAGACACUGAGCUGUCCCUUAAUGGACAUUGUGAUAAUCAGGAUGGGUGAUAAUAUGGGAAGGGAUCACUCAUAGGCAUGACAAGGGAAGAGGGUCCACUAGCAUCUUCAUUGUACCUAAGACAGGCUGAGUUUUCAGUUUGGAAAUCUGAUGCCUCAGGCAGGGCAGGGCAGACAAAUGUUCCCAGUCAGGGUGUAACUGCACUGGCUCACAAGAGUCUUCCAGGAUGGCUGGAGUAGACCCCCAUCAAUUUCACAUCUUGAUUAAUUGCUCAUGUAAUUA
Molecule: long non-coding RNA, 1164 nt
Filed under: Marmota monax (woodchuck)
Lineage: Eukaryota; Metazoa; Chordata; Mammalia; Rodentia; Sciuridae
Source: RNAcentral